This 330-nucleotide ribosomal RNA is filed under the name uncultured eukaryote. Its description in RNAcentral is "partial 18S ribosomal RNA". It matches the Rfam family "Eukaryotic small subunit ribosomal RNA", at positions 1470 to 1796 of the family's 1831-position model. The record is from RNAcentral.
CCCUUAGAUGUUCGGGGCCGCACGCGCGCUACACUGAUGGAAUCAGCACGUCUUUCUCCUUGUCCGAAAGGACUGGGUAACCCGCUGAACCUCCUUCGUGCUAGGGAUUGGGGCUUGUAAUUCUUCCCCAUGAACGAGGAAUUCCCAGUAAGCGCGAGUCAUAAGCUCGCGUUGAUUACGUCCCUGCCCUUUGUACACACCGCCCGUCGCUACUACCGAUUGGAUGGUUUAGUGAGAUCCUCGGAUUGGUCCCGGCGCGGCCUCUGGUCGUGCCGGAGUGCCGAAAAGAAUGUCGAACUUGAUCAUCUAGAGGAAGUAAAAGUCGUAACA